CAGCAGCCGCGGUAAUACGUAGGUCCCGAGCGUUGUCUGGAUUUAUUGGGCGUAAAGCGAGCGCAGGCGGUUAGAUAAGUCUGAAGUUAAAGGCUGUGGCUUAACCAUAGUACGCUUUGGAAACUGUUUAACUUGAGUGCAGAAGGUGAGAAUGGAAUUCCAUGUGUAGCGGUGAAAUGCGUAGAUAUAUGGAGGAACACCGGUGGCGAAAGCGGCUCUCUGGUCUGUAACUGACGCUGAGGCUCGAAAGCGUGGGGAGCAAACAGGAUUAGAUACCCGCGUAGUCCCUGUCUCUUAUACA
RNAcentral lists this ribosomal RNA (301 nucleotides) under uncultured bacterium. RNAcentral's name for it is "partial 16S ribosomal RNA". It matches the Rfam family "Bacterial small subunit ribosomal RNA", at positions 509 to 808 of the family's 1533-position model. The record is from RNAcentral.